Molecule: long non-coding RNA, 745 nt
Organism: Bufo bufo (common toad)
Lineage: Eukaryota; Metazoa; Chordata; Amphibia; Anura; Bufonidae
Exons: 3
Source: RefSeq, a predicted model, not a curated record
UCAGCAUCAUAAAGGAUGCUAGAAAUCGGAGGCUGCUUACAGCUCCAGCGGCUGAGGGUGAGCCUCUGUCAUCUGCCCCUGCCCAGGGGGUCACAAUGAAUCCACAUCCUGCAAACACCUCUCCAGAAAUUGGAAGAAUUACAUUAACCUCCUCACCCCUCGCCCCAGCAGUGGCUCAGUUUAAACACAGCCACAGAUAACAUCCCGCCGCUGUUUGAAGAAGCAAUAAUCUUCUCAGAGCUGUCAAGGUUCAAGGACCCAGACUGACUGAGGCUCCUCCAGAUCUCCACAAGGACAGUGGUCAGGAGGACCACUAGGGAUGCCAGUGUGCAAGCCAUGCAAUGCAGUGGUCCAGGGGAAUCCAGUCUGCACCCAGGAGGUCCUCCUCCCAUGUAUCAUAAAAGAAAAUUUAAAGUAGGGUUGAAGAAUGAAACAAUAUUCUAUGAGGGCUAAGUGGAAAAUCAGGAUUUCUGCUGCAGUAUUUGAAGCCAAAACUAGGAGUGGAUUAAAAAAAGGAGGUGACACAGUAAAAAAAAGUGUAAAACCCAGCCUAAAAGUUUUCAUUGCUUUUUAAAGCCAGCUCUGAUAUGAUAAACUAUACAGGCAGCAAACAAUAUCUGCAAGAAUGAAAAUGAAUUUCCAUGUGGACAAUCAUCUCAUCACUGCAAAUAUUUUGUCAUGUACAUUUUUACCAACCAACAUACUGAAUGUGAAAGAUAUUGAAAUGCUUGUCAGAUCAAAGGAA